RNAcentral lists this long non-coding RNA (840 nucleotides) under Prunus persica (peach). RNAcentral describes it as "long non-coding RNA (PPER_LNC007741)". The record is from RNAcentral. Lineage: Eukaryota; Viridiplantae; Streptophyta; Magnoliopsida; Rosales; Rosaceae.
UCAAUUUCAACAAAACAGAGUACAAAGGAAAUAACAGGAAGAAAGAGUCCUACGAUGACUCAAGGCUCGGAAGCUCACGAUCCGGCUCUGCUGCGGAGCUCAGUCACCUACUGCUGGGGGGCGCAAAACAGAAAAUUGUGAGUGGACAAAAAUAAAUUCAGUUCGGUGCAAACCAACGUAAUAUAACCCCACCGUUUAGAAAACCAUGCAAGAAAUACCAUGCAUCUCAAAACCGUCAUACACAAGUAUAUAUAUAUAUAUAUAUAUAUCAAAACAAAUCAAUACCAAAUGCCAAGUCCAAAAUUCAUAAAGAACACUUUACAAAACCCACCAUCCAAAAACUUAUAAAUCCCGCAACCAAUCUCUCGAAAGCGUACCCAUUGGCACGACCGGCAAGGAAGUAUCCACACCGAGAAACAAGAAUGAAUGAAUAGAUAUAUAAUUAUAUAAUAUAAGAGAUAUAUAUAUAAUAUAAUUAUAACCAUCACCUAGUUGUACCGGGGAAACAAUCCAACCGGGGGAUUGUUUGACUAGUCACCCUGGCAGAGUCCUCAUGAUGAGUCCUCAAUCCACCAUGUGACUAGGGAACGAGCCGUCCAACUGGGGGACCAACUCUCAGCCAGAACGUACCGUCGAUAACCUCAAAACCCGUACGUCUGUGAACAGUCCUACGCGCGCAGACUACCCAAUUAAGGGUCUACAGCAACAUCCCGUCAAGGAUGCCCCGGGUCCCGACAAUUCCAAGUAUCUCAAGUCUCCGUAUCCAAGUUCCACAUCUGGGGAGGUACAUAGGGUAGUGCUUACAACACACCAAACUGACAUUCUAUACUCACCACUUUC